This 369-nucleotide ribosomal RNA is filed under the name uncultured Corynebacterium sp. RNAcentral describes it as "bacterial SSU rRNA". It matches the Rfam family "Bacterial small subunit ribosomal RNA", at positions 1020 to 1382 of the family's 1533-position model. Lineage: Bacteria; Bacillati; Actinomycetota; Actinomycetes; Mycobacteriales; Corynebacteriaceae. The record is from RNAcentral.
GUUGGUUGGUGGUUACAGGUGGUGGCAUGGUUGUCGUCAGCUCGUGUCGUGAGAUGUUGGGUUAAGUCCCGCAACGAAGCGCAACCCUUGUCUUAUGUUGCCAGCACGUGAUGGUGGGGACGUCAUGAGAGACUGCCGGGGUUAACUCGGAGGAAGGUGGGGAUGACGUCAAAUCAUCAUGCCCCUUAUGUCCAGGGCUUCACACAUGCUACAAUGGUCGGUACAACGCGUGUGCGACACUGUGAGGUGAAGCUAAUCGCUCUAAAGCCGGUCGUAGUUCGGAUUGGGGUCUGCAACUCGACCCCAUGAAGUCGGAGUCGCUAGUAAUCGCAGAUCAGCAACGCUGCGGUGAAUACGUUCCCGGGCCUU